This 303-nucleotide ribosomal RNA is filed under the name uncultured bacterium. RNAcentral describes it as "partial 16S ribosomal RNA". It matches the Rfam family "Bacterial small subunit ribosomal RNA", at positions 507 to 809 of the family's 1533-position model. The record is from RNAcentral.
AGCAGUAGCCGCGGGAAUACGUAGGUGGCAAGCGUUGUCCGGAUUUAUUGGGCGUAAAGCGCGCGCAGGCGGAUCAGUUAGUCUGUCUUAAAAGUUCGGGGCUUAACCCCGUGAUGGGAUGGAAACUGCUGAUCUAGAGUAUCGGAGAGGAAAGUGGAAUUCCUAGUGUAGCGGUGAAAUGCGUAGAUAUUAGGAAGAACACCAGUGGCGAAGGCGACUUUCUGGACGAAAACUGACGCUGAGGCGCGAAAGCCAGGGGAGCGAACGGGAUUAGAUACCCCCGUAGUCCCUGUCUCUUAUACA